CGGACGGGUGAGUAAUGCUUGGGAAUCUGGCUUAUGGAGGGGGAUAACUACGGGAAACUGUAGCUAAUACCGCGUAGUAUCGAGAGAUGAAAGACUGGGACCGCAAGGCCAGUUGCCAUAAGAUGAGCCCAAGUGGGAUUAGGUAGUUGGUGGGGUAAAGGCCUACCAAGCCGACGAUCUCUAGCUGGUCUGAGAGGAUGACCAGCCACACUGGAACUGAGACACGGUCCAGACUCCUACGGGAGGCAGCAGUGGGGAAUAUUGCACAAUGGGGGGAACCCUGAUGCAGCCAUGCCGCGUGAAUGAAGAAGGCCUUCGGGUUGUAAAGUUCUUUCGGUGAUGAGGAAGGGUAGUGUUUUAAUAGAACAUUACAUUGACGUUAGUCACAGAAGAAGCACCGGCUAACUCCGUGCCAGCAGCCGCGGUAAUACGGAGGGUGCGAGCGUUAAUCGGAAUGACUGGGCGUAAAGGGCACGCAGGCGGUGACUUAAGUGAGAUGUGAAAGCCCCGAGCUUAACUUGGGAAUUGCAUUUCAUACUGGGUUGCUAGAGUAUUUUAGGGAGGGGUAGAAUUCCACGUGUAGCGGUGAAAUGCGUAGAGAUGUGGAGGAAUACCGAAGGCGAAGGCAGCCCCUUGGGAAAAUACUGACGCUCAUGUGCGAAAGCGUGGGGAGCAAACAGGAUUAGAUACCCUGGUAGUCCACGCUGUAAACGCUGUCGAUUUGGGGAUUGGGCUUAGAGCUUGGUGCCCGUAGCUAACGUGAUAAAUCGACCGC
This 775-nucleotide ribosomal RNA is filed under the name uncultured Haemophilus sp. RNAcentral's name for it is "bacterial SSU rRNA". It matches the Rfam family "Bacterial small subunit ribosomal RNA", at positions 99 to 872 of the family's 1533-position model. The record is from RNAcentral. Lineage: Bacteria; Pseudomonadati; Pseudomonadota; Gammaproteobacteria; Pasteurellales; Pasteurellaceae.